This 3192-nucleotide long non-coding RNA is filed under the name Triticum aestivum (bread wheat). RNAcentral describes it as "long non-coding RNA (TAES_LNC027369)". The record is from RNAcentral. Lineage: Eukaryota; Viridiplantae; Streptophyta; Magnoliopsida; Poales; Poaceae.
UCCCAUCUCCUCUCGCGCCCCUGCUCCUUCUUCCCAAACCUUGCUGCUGCUGCUGCUGCUCUCUUUUCCCCAAAACUGCUGCUGCUUCUUCUCUCCCGCGCCCCUUGCUGUUCCUCACUUGCUGAACCUCUGUUCUGAACCUCCUCCUUCUGCUGCUCCUUGUGUGUGUGUAAUUCAUAAAAAACAUAUUGUUGUGUCCAGUGAACAAUUAGUGUUGAGACUUGUUCAAUUGCAAACUGUUUUGUGCUAAAUUUAUAUGUGACUCUCAGUUCGUGGGUUGUAUCGAUUCAGAUUACUACCUGUGAUUUUAUUUUGUAGUGAAACUGCUCUUUGUGAAGUCAGAGGUGUGAUUGUUUUUUAUCUCAAGUUCAAUGUGCUAGCUACGUACCAGUGCCAUAUGUGACAUGUAUAUGUGAUGUGAAAUAAUUGUAUGUUGUCCCUAAUCUUGUUCCUUCCGUGUGUCUUAUACUUGCUAGUUUUAUAUACAUAUAUGUGUUAUUGUCUAGUUAGUUCCCAUUUGUUGAAGUUGUCCCCUGUAGUUUUUAUUUCUCAAGUGCUAGGAAAACACCAAAAAGAUAGUGAGUAAUAUCUGAACCUCCCUUUGCUAUUUUGCAUUUUCUUUGUGGAUUAUCUUCGGGAACAAUCAUUGUUAGUUUAGAUUCUUAUUUUCUGCAUUUAUCUCUUAAUAUUGUGCUACCUAGCUUUAGCCGAGCAUAGUCGUCGUCGCCUAGUCCCUGUGGAGAACGCGACACUCGUAGUUUGGGGCGUAAAAACCCCGCUAUAUUACAAUUGAUCAUUUUGGCGCCGUUGCCGGGGAUUAGCAUCGAGCGAUUGUGUGAAGCUAUAGACUAGGCUUAGUAUAGUUUUUGUUUAAAUUUCCAGCCAAAUUUAUUUCUGUGUUUCUUUUACCUUUUUACUUUUUGUUGCUUCAGCUUAUUAGGGUACUAACCCUCUCACCAGUCUUUGAUGUUUGUGAGCGUGUGUAGGAUAUCUUACUAUUUGUAGGCUCAUUGACAGUUGCACUUGAACAUAUGGCUUUAGUACAUGAUCUUUGGUUGCCAAGUAGUUUGGACACGAUGACAGGGCCAAUUUGGCUAUCUAUUGAGGCCGAAAAUUUUGAGUUGAGGCCUGGACUUAUUGCUCUUGUCUUGCAGAAUCAGUUUAGAGGAUUACCCAAUGAAGACCCUCAUGAGCACAUUAGUAAUGUUCUGGAGUAUGCUCAAAUCCCUAGUACACUAGAAAACUAAAUCAUUUUCUGCAUUUACUAUGAUACACCUAGAUCACCAUGUUUAGAUGCUGAAUUUGUGCCAAGUGUGUUCCCAUUGAGAGCAAUCACCUAACCACUAUGGAUUAGCAUGCUAUGUUCCCUGGAUCGGUAGCAUGUGAACCAGACAUGGAGAAGUGAUGAUUCCUGUUUUUGUGCUUAUGCGUUGUUCAUUUAAGAUAAGUAAUAAUGAAUAAAUUAGUCUGACUACCUACAGUAGCAUGUCAUGUUCUCGGGAUCGGUGGCAUGUGAAAUCGGGUUAGCUUGGGCAGUAAUUAUUAAUAGAAAAAUGUAAUUGUCGAACCAGGUGUAUACCAUGUUCUCGGGAUCGGUGGUAUGUUCCUUUGGGGAGACAAACAAAAAAAACUAUAUAAUUGGUCGAGCCGGGUCUACACCAUGUUCUCGGGAUCGGUGGUAUGUUCCUUUGGUGAGAUCAAUAAAAUAUUAUCAUUACUUCCUUCAAAUUCAAUAAGUGGUUCAACCACAAAGUUAUAUUUCUGCAAAUAAGAGAUUUAAUUCUAGUUCUUUUUUUCUCGGGAUCAUGCUCUCUUUAGUGGCACAAUCAACAUUUGAAUUUGUUGAUCCAUUUUUAUCAUUGUAAAAGUUUAAAAUGAUUGAGUCUACUAGUAUCCUAUUGCUUUGUAGCACUCUUAACCAUUAAUUUUCAUUAGCUAAGUCCAAAGCAUGCUUUGUUUGGAGAUCUACUUCAUUGGGACAUUCUCCAGUCAGCUCACUCUUCAUUAUCAAGCUCUUGUCAUAUUCCUUUGCUUGAGGACAAGCAAAAGUUUAAGUGUGGGGGAACUUGAUAAGCACAUUUCUUAUAUACAAUUUGGGCACACAAAUUCACCAUUUAUUGAGAUAUAUCAAUCCAUUAUUGCUACGACUUGUUGAAUAUUCGAAUGAUAAUCAUAAAAGAGAAUGUUGACUAGUGAAUUGUUUAUUUUACAGAAAAGUGCGCAAAGGCACUAUAAUCGUCAAGACUUCUACUAUGUGGCUAACGAGAAGAGAGAAGGGCAUGAAUAAAUACAUCAAGGCUUGAGCGUGAAGGAAAGAAGUAAUGUAGGGGAGCAAACUAAAAGAAGAGGAGGAUCUUCUUGGGCAGAAAUGAAGAGAAGAGGAGGGCCAAUGUGCAAAUGUGGCAGAUCAGAGAGGGGAAUGAAAUCCCUAGUCGCACCUCAUUGCAAAUCGGGCCUGGACACAUCUCUCUCUCCCUCACCCCUCCUUCUCCACCUUCGGCCGCCACCACAGCCAGGCCGGCGUGGGGCGCGCCACCAGCUCCACUAGCGCCAUCCCUCCACUUCACCGUCGCACAUCACCAGCACCGCUGGCUCCACUGCGCCCUCUCGAUCAGCGCCACUGCCUUCUCCUUCCCCUGCCUCCUCCCUCUCCUAGCGCUGCUUCUUCUUCCCUCGCCUCAAAUUGCUGCUGCUCUCUUCUCCCCUCACCUCCACACUGUUGCUACUACUUUCCUUUGCUGUUGUCCCAUCUCCCCUCGCGCCCCUGCUCCUUCUUCUUCCCAAACCUUGCUGUUGCUGCUCUCUUUUCCCCAAAACUAUUGACGCUUCUUCUCUCCCGCGCCCCUUGCUGUUCCUCACUUGCUGAACCUUUGUUCUGAACCUCCUCCUUCUGCUACUCCUUGUGUGUGUGUAAUUCAUAAAAAAACAUAUUGUUGUGUCCAGUGAACAAUUAGUGUUGAGACUUGUUCAAUUGCAAACUGUUUUGUGCUAGAUUUAUAUGUGACUCUCAGUUCGUGGGUUGUAUCGAUUCAGAUUACUACCUGUGAUUUUAUUUUGUAGUGAGACUGCUCUUUGUGAAGUCAGAGGUGUGGUUGUUUUUUUUAUCUCAAGUUCAAUGUGCUAGCUAUGUACCAGUGACAUAUGUGACAUGUAUAUGUGAUGUGAAAUAAUUGUAUGCUGUCCCUUAUCUUG